CCUAACCAAACACAAUGUUAUUGUACCUACCGGUCCAGGCUCAACUCCACGCAACAAACCAAACAUACCCGAGUGCAGUAGCCGACAAGGAAAACUAGUUCUUGGUUUGCCAAGCUCUUGCUUUCCUUGUUGACAUGGCACCAACAUGAUAUCGUAGGCGUGACGAGGAGGCCGUCGAGCACAAGUUCAAAUCAUGAGCAAAACAACAAUUUGGUUGCUGCAAAGGGCACAGGAACAAUGAGCCCCAGGAGUUCCCCAUGCUUCCUAAGCCUACCACUGCAUGCUCAUGCAUGCAUAUCAUGUAUUUGUAACUGAUACACAACAUGUAUCUAUG
Molecule: long non-coding RNA, 334 nt
Filed under: Oryza brachyantha (malo sina)
Lineage: Eukaryota; Viridiplantae; Streptophyta; Magnoliopsida; Poales; Poaceae
Description: long non-coding RNA (OBRA_LNC002962)
Source: RNAcentral